AGAAAAUUUUAUAAUGAUUUUAUAAUUAAUUAUAUUUUUGUAUUAAUAUAAAAAAAUUUAAAUAUUAGAAAUUUUAGUUUAGUUUAAUAGUUAAAUUUAAAAAAUUAAUGAAAGUUAAAUUUAGAAAAAAAAAUUAAUAAAGAUUAAAUUUAGUGCCAGCAAUAGCGGUUAGACUAAUUUUGUAAAUUAAUUUUAAGAAAUUAAUAUAUAUAUAUAUAUUAUAAAUAAUAUUUAAUUAAAUUUAGAGAUUUUAGGUGAAAUUUAAUUUUUAUGUAUAUUAAAUUUUAUAUUUAUAAAUAUAAUAAGAUAAAUAAAUAAACUAGGAUUAGAUACCCUAUUAUAUAAAAUAAUAAAAUAAUUUAUAAGUAAAUGUUAAAUCAUUAAAAUUAAAUUAUAUGGCGGCUUUUCAUUCUUAUUAGAGAAAUUUGUAAUUUAAUUUGAUAGUCCACGAUAAGAUUUACUUAAAUUUUAAAUUUAUGUAUUGUUGUUUAUUUUUAUAUAAAAUUAUUUAUAAUAAAUAUUUAAUAAAAUAAUAAUUCAAAUCAAAAUGUAGUAUAUUUAAGGAUAUUAUGAAUUAUAAUAAAUUGAAUUUUUGAAUAAUUUUAUUAUAAUAUGAAUUUGAAAGAGAAUUUAAUAGUAAAAAUAAUAAAUUUAUUAUUUUGAAAUUAGUUUUGAAAAGUGUACAAAUUGCCCGUCAAUUUCAAUUAAGGAAUAAGUCGUAACAUAGUAAAAAUAUUGGAAAAUGUUUUUAGAAAAUU
This 758-nucleotide non-coding RNA is filed under the name Bombus lapidarius. The record is from RNAcentral. Lineage: Eukaryota; Metazoa; Arthropoda; Insecta; Hymenoptera; Apidae.